The sequence is a transfer RNA, 64 nucleotides long. The stretch from base 4 to 60 matches the Rfam family "tRNA", at positions 8 to 63 of the family's 71-position model. Rfam says of the family: Transfer RNA (tRNA) molecules are approximately 80 nucleotides in length. Their secondary structure includes four short double-helical elements and three loops (D, anti-codon, and T loops).
GUUUAGGAUAGUGGUAGAAUGCCGCCUUGGCAUGGCGGAGGCCGGGGGUUCAAAUCCCCCCUCG